GGGGGAAUAUUGCACAAUGGGGGAAACCCUGAUGCAGCGACGCCGCGUGGAGGAUGACGGCCUUCGGGUUGUAAACUCCUUUUGUCGGGGACAAUGGUGAUGGUACCCGACGAAUAAGCCACGGCUAACUCUGUGCCAGCAGCCGCGGUAAUACGUAGGGUGCAAGCGUUAUCCGGAAUUAUUGGGCGUAAAGAGCUCGUAGGCGGUUUGUCGCGUCUGCCGUGAAAGUCCGGGGCUCAACCCCGGAUCUGCGGUGGGUACGGGCAGACUAGAGUGAUGUAGGGGAGACUGGAAUUCCUGGUGUAGCGGUGAAAUGCGCAGAUAUCAGGAGGAACACCGAUGGCGAAGGCAGGUCUCUGGGCAUUAACUGACGCUGAGGAGCGAAAGCAUGGGGAGCGAA
This 400-nucleotide ribosomal RNA is filed under the name uncultured bacterium. Its description in RNAcentral is "bacterial SSU rRNA". It matches the Rfam family "Bacterial small subunit ribosomal RNA", at positions 355 to 772 of the family's 1533-position model. The record is from RNAcentral.